CUACGGGGCGCACCAGUGGGGAAUAUUGCACAAUGGAGGAAACUCUGAUGCAGCAACGCCGCGUGGAGGAUGACACUUUUCGGAGCGUAAACUCCUUUUAUAUAGGAAGAAGAUGACGGUACUAUAUGAAUAAGCGCCGGCUAACUCCGUGCCAGCAGCCGCGGUAAUACGGAGGGCGCAAGCGUUACUCGGAAUCACUGGGCGUAAAGAGCGUGUAGGCGGAUUAAAAAGUCAGAAGUGAAAUCCUAUAGCUUAACUAUAGAACUGCUUCUGAAACUCUUAAUCUAGAAUAUGGGAGAGGUAGAUGGAAUUUCUGGUGUAGGGGUAAAAUCCGUAGAGAUCAGAAGGAAUACCGAUUGCGAAGGCGAUCUACUAGAACAUUAUUGACGCUGAGACGCGAAAGCGUGGGGAGCAAACAGGAUUAGAUACCCCAGUAGUC
Molecule: ribosomal RNA, 439 nt
Filed under: uncultured bacterium
Lineage: Bacteria
Description: partial 16S ribosomal RNA
Rfam family: Bacterial small subunit ribosomal RNA
Source: RNAcentral